This 793-nucleotide ribosomal RNA is filed under the name Oceanobacillus sp. RNAcentral describes it as "bacterial SSU rRNA". It matches the Rfam family "Bacterial small subunit ribosomal RNA", at positions 46 to 821 of the family's 1533-position model. Lineage: Bacteria; Bacillati; Bacillota; Bacilli; Caryophanales; Bacillaceae. The record is from RNAcentral.
GUCGAGCGCAGGAAGCAAGUUGAUCCCCUUCGGGGGUGACGCUUGUGGAAUGAGCGGCGGACGGGUGAGUAACACGUGGGCAACCUGCCUGUAAGACUGGGAUAACCCCGGGAAACCGGGGCUAAUACCGGAUAAUACUUUCUUUUGCAUAAAGGAAAGUUGAAAGGCGGCUUCGGCUGUCACUUACAGAUGGGCCCGCGGCGCAUUAGCUAGUUGGUGAGGUAACGGCUCACCAAGGCGACGAUGCGUAGCCGACCUGAGAGGGUGAUCGGCCACACUGGGACUGAGACACGGCCCAGACUCCUACGGGAGGCAGCAGUAGGGAAUCUUCCGCAAUGGACGAAAGUCUGACGGAGCAACGCCGCGUGAGUGAUGAAGGUUUUCGGAUCGUAAAACUCUGUUGUUAGGGAAGAACAAGUUGGGUAGUAACUGACCCAACCUUGACGGUACCUAACCAGAAAGCCACGGCUAACUACGUGCCAGCAGCCGCGGUAAUACGUAGGUGGCAAGCGUUGUCCGGAAUUAUUGGGCGUAAAGCGCUCGCAGGCGGUCCUUUAAGUCUGAUGUGAAAUCUCGCGGCUCAACCGCGAACGGUCAUUGGAAACUGGAGGACUUGAGUACAGAAGAGGAGAGUGGAAUUCCACGUGUAGCGGUGAAAUGCGUAGAGAUGUGGAGGAACACCAGUGGCGAAGGCGACUCUCUGGUCUGUAACUGACGCUGAGGAGCGAAAGCGUGGGGAGCGAACAGGAUUAGAUACCCUGGUAGUCCACGCCGUAAACGAUGAGUGCUAGGG